AUACGUAGGUGGCAAGCGUUGUCCGGAAUUAUUGGGCGUAAAGAGCGCGCAGGCGGUCCUUUAAGUCUGAUGUGAAAGCCCACGGCUCAACCGUGGAGGGUCAUUGGAAACUGGGGGACUUGAGUGCAGAGGAGGAAAGUGGAAUUCCAAGUGUAGCGGUGAAAUGCGUAGAGAUUUGGAGGAACACCAGUGGCGAAGGCGACUUUCUGGUCGGUAACUGGCGCGGAGGCGCGAAAGCGUGGGGAGCAAACAGGAUUAGAUACCCUGGUAGUCCACGCCGUAAACGAUGAGUGCUAAGUGUUAGGGGGUUUCCGCCCCUUAGUGCUGCAGCUAACGCAUUAAGCACUCCGCCUGGGGAGUACGGUCGCAAGACUGAAACUCAAAGGAAUUGACGGGG
Molecule: ribosomal RNA, 397 nt
Filed under: uncultured bacterium
Lineage: Bacteria
Description: partial 16S ribosomal RNA
Rfam family: Bacterial small subunit ribosomal RNA
Source: RNAcentral